ACCCCCUUAGCUCAGCGGAAGAGCAGCGGGCUUCGAACCCGUGCGCGGGCGUUCGAAUCGCUCAGGGGGUGCCA
RNAcentral lists this transfer RNA (74 nucleotides) under Candidatus Dormiibacterota bacterium. RNAcentral describes it as "tRNA-Arg". It matches the Rfam family "tRNA". From Rfam's summary of the family: Transfer RNA (tRNA) molecules are approximately 80 nucleotides in length. Their secondary structure includes four short double-helical elements and three loops (D, anti-codon, and T loops). Further hydrogen bonds mediate the characteristic L-shaped molecular structure. tRNAs have two regions of fundamental functional importance: the anti-codon, which is responsible for specific mRNA codon recognition, and the 3' end, to which the tRNAs corresponding amino acid is attached (by aminoacyl-tRNA synthetases). tRNAs cope with the degeneracy of the genetic code in two manners: having more than one tRNA (with a specific anti-codon) for a particular amino acid; and 'wobble' base-pairing, i.e. permitting non-standard base-pairing at the 3rd anti-codon position. Lineage: Bacteria; Bacillati; Candidatus Dormiibacterota. The record is from RNAcentral.